Molecule: ribosomal RNA, 567 nt
Filed under: uncultured bacterium
Lineage: Bacteria
Description: partial 16S ribosomal RNA
Rfam family: Bacterial small subunit ribosomal RNA
Source: RNAcentral
UGGGGAAUAUUGCACAAUGGGCGAAAGCCUGAUGCAGCAACGCCGCGUGAGGGACGACGGCCUUCGGGUUGUAAACCUCUUUUAGCAAGGAAGAAGCGAAAGUGACGGUACUUGCAGAAAAAGCGCCGGCUAACUACGUGCCAGCAGCCGCGGUAAUACGUAGGGCGCAAGCGUUAUCCGGAAUUAUUGGGCGUAAAGAGCUCGUAGGCGGUUUGUCGCGUCUGCUGUGAAAACCCGAGGCUCAACCUCGGGCCUGCAGUGGGUACGGGCAGACUAGAGUGCGGUAGGGGAGAUUGGAACUCCUGGUGUAGCGGUGGAAUGCGCAGAUAUCAGGAAGAACACCGAUGGCGAAGGCAGAUCUCUGGGCCGUAACUGACGCUGAGGAGCGAAAGGGUGGGGAGCAAAACAGGCUUAGAUACCCUGGUAGUCCACCCCGUAAACGUUGGGAACUAGUUGUGGGUCCAUUCCACGGAUUCCGUGACGCAGCUAACGCAUUAAGUUCCCCGCCUGGGAGUACGGCCGCAAGGCUAAAACUCAAAGGAAUUGACGGGGUCAUAGCUGUUUCCU